UACGGGGGGGGCAAGCGUUGUUCGGAAUUACUGGGCGUAAAGGGCUCGUAGGCGGCCAACUAAGUCGGACGUGAAAUCCCUCGGCUUAACCGGGGAACUGCGUCCGAUACUGGAUGGCUUGAGUUCGGGAGAGGGAUGCGGAAUUCCAGGUGUAGCGGUGAAAUGCGUAGAUAUCUGGAGGAACACCGGUGGCGAAGGCGGCGUCCUGGACCGACACUGACGCUGAGGAGCGAAAGCCAGGGGAGCAAACGGG
RNAcentral lists this ribosomal RNA (253 nucleotides) under uncultured bacterium. RNAcentral describes it as "partial 16S ribosomal RNA". It matches the Rfam family "Bacterial small subunit ribosomal RNA", at positions 524 to 776 of the family's 1533-position model. The record is from RNAcentral.